Molecule: RNA transcript, 2056 nt
Organism: Corticium candelabrum
Lineage: Eukaryota; Metazoa; Porifera; Homoscleromorpha; Homosclerophorida; Plakinidae
Exons: 12
Source: RefSeq, a predicted model, not a curated record
UGCAACUUUCCUUGCCUGCUCACGCACGUGACUCAUCUGUCUUGCCACGUUAUUGCAUUUGCACGUCUGUAAGUGUUCUGUUCGAUCCUUGAAAGGAAGACUUUUUGUUAACAGAUGGAUAUCAAGAAAGAGAUCAGUGUCCUGGUGCAAUGUUACUUACAUCAAUCCAAGUAUGUUGCCAUAGUAUUGCUGGAGGAGUGCUUGGCGUUACAACAGAAAUACCCUUCAGCUAAUGCUGUCAAAGUGGCAAAUACUAUGAGACUGUUUGGUAGCUGUUUUAUGGAACAAAACAAACUCUCUGUAGCAGAAAGAUUAUUGAGAGAUUCUGCUGAUACAAAGAAUCCUGCUCUUCCGGAAGGUCAUCCUGAUCUUGCACAUGGUAUGUGUUCAUUGUCUGAUACGAUUGUAAGACAUAUCACUCUUCAUACUAAAACAACUCUACUCAGCUCACGUGGAGUGAGUGUGUUGUCUAUAUAUUAAUAUCAUCAUUAAUUGUUAUCUUGUUCAGGUCAGUUAACAGUUGCUCAGUGUCUGCACCAUCAAGGUAAAGUAAGUGCAUCAAUCAAGCUGAGGAAGGAGUGUGUCAGGAUCUAUAAAUCAUCUUUUUAUCUUGAACAUCGUCAUGUGGCUGCAGCUGUUGGUCAACUUGGAUAUUAUUUACUGGUAGCUGGACAUUUGGAUGAAAGCAAAAAACAUUUGGAGAAUCUCUUGCCAUAGUCAGACAUUCACUACACAAGAAACAUCCUGAUACAGCAAUUUCAUUGAAAGGUUUGGCAGAAUGUCUGAUGAGAAAAGGGAAGAACAUUGAAGCAGAAAGACUUUUCUUUGAAGCUGUCAACAUUGAAGCAGUUUAGCUCCAUGAAAAUCAUCCCAACAAAAUCUACAGUCAGAAUUUGUAUGAGAAACUCAGAAUGGUCAUUGUGGCGAGAUGUUGUAGAAGUGCAGUAUCCAACUGAAUAUCUACAAGGCGAAGUGGUGGAGUUUUACCUCGCACUGAAAGCAGUUCACAAACUAUCCACAGCAGCUGAUUUGCCAAAUUCCCGUUUACCUUCUCACUCUCCUCUUCCAGAUGAAGAACAGGAAGCAUCCUACUUCUGUAGCGAAGAGGGUCUACAUUCUUGUGGCUUUACAUCUUCAUCAACAGCGCAAAGGGAUAGUACUUCAUCACAAAGAUCAAUAUUACAACAACCUGCCAAUGUACACACUGUCAGACAAUGUGCUGUUGGUCCCAGUUAUAGCAAAGUUCAAGAGAGAAGCUCAUUGCUAGUUCGUCUUCCUGUUGGCAAUGAAGUUCCUUACAGAGGAUGUACUUUCCGGUAGAUAGAUACUACAGGUCAGACAGUUGAAGAAGUUCCAGGAGAAAGGCUGGAUAGUCGUACAAUAGAAACUGUUACUCCUGCUUGGCCACAUGCUGAUCGAGUGGAGAUACACAUAUUUCCUCAGAUGGUCAAACUCGUUUGGGAUAUUUUGUACACGUUUUCAUUGACUCGUCUGCAGAGGUGUGACCUGAUUGUGAGGGUAACAGCAGUAUGCUACCAGGAGUAGUAGAUCAAGGAACAGAGAAAGAACAUUCUUCAGUUCGGCCAGUCUGUGUUGCGAAGAGGAGGAGAUUGUCAAGUUACAGAUGCGACGAGUUAGACUUGCAAGCAAUUGUGUCUGAUUUACAGUUUCUUGAGGUUGGCAUGGAUGUCAGAAGUAAUUGGUAUGAGAUUGGUAUUCAUCCUGGAGUCGACUUAGAAGAGUUGUUUGAUUGUAAAGAUUGUUUCCCCAAAACUUGGCUGCUCGCCUCAUACAUAUCUUCUCACUGUGGAGAAAACGAGAGCAGAAAGCAACUAUUGCAAUAUUCCUGGAAGCAUGGAGCCAAGCAAGUGUCGGUGCAUGCAUCAGAGAAAGCAGUGAAGAAGGCAAAAAUCAAAAGUGAAAUUGGAUGGAAUUACGUACUCUCAAUGACUCAAAUUUCAGUUAAGUUUUUUUACAUUUUUUCUAUUGUAUCUAGAAUGGUGUCAUUGACUCAAGGAUUUCCUAAUUGUUGCUAAUAACAUAUCCAUCUACUGUA